UACGUAGGGACCAAGCGUUGUUCGGAUUUACUGGGCGUAAAGGGCGCGUAGGCGGCGUGACAAGUCACUUGUGAAAUCUCUGAGCUUAACUCAGAACGGCCAAGUGAAACUGUUGUGCUAGAGUGCAGAAGGGGCAAUCGGAAUUCUUGGUGUAGCGGUGAAAUGCGUAGAUAUCAAGAGGAACACCUGAGGUGAAGACGGGUUGCUGGGCUGACACUGACGCUGAGGCGCGAAAGCUAGGGGAGCGAACGGG
This 253-nucleotide ribosomal RNA is filed under the name uncultured bacterium. Its description in RNAcentral is "partial 16S ribosomal RNA". It matches the Rfam family "Bacterial small subunit ribosomal RNA", at positions 524 to 776 of the family's 1533-position model. The record is from RNAcentral.